GAUGAACGCUGGCGGCGUGCCUAAUACAUGCAAGUCGAGCGAACAGAUAAGGAGCUUGCUCCUUUGACGUUAGCGGCGGACGGGUGAGUAACACGUGGAUAACCUACCUAUAAGACUGGGAUAACUUCGGGAAACCGGAGCUAAUACCGGAUAACAUAUUGAACCGCAUGGUUCAAUAGUGAAAGGCGGCUUUGCUGUCACUUCUAGAUGGAUCCGCGCCGUAUUAGCUAGUUGGUAAGGUAACGGCUUACCAAGGCAACGAUACGUAGCCGACCUGAGAGGGUGAUCGGCCACACUGGAACUGAGACACGGUCCAGACUCCUACGGGAGGCAGCAGUAGGGAAUCUUCCGCAAUGGGCGAAAGCCUGACGGAGCAACGCCGCGUGAGUGAUGAAGGUCUUCGGAUCGUAAAACUCUGUUAUCAGGGAAGAACAAAUGUGUAAGUAACUGUGCACAUCUUGACGGUACCUGAUCAGAAAGCCACGGCUAACUACGUG
RNAcentral lists this ribosomal RNA (497 nucleotides) under uncultured bacterium. RNAcentral's name for it is "partial 16S ribosomal RNA". It matches the Rfam family "Bacterial small subunit ribosomal RNA", at positions 28 to 507 of the family's 1533-position model. The record is from RNAcentral.